Molecule: small RNA, 88 nt
Filed under: Synechococcus sp. KORDI-100
Lineage: Bacteria; Bacillati; Cyanobacteriota; Cyanophyceae; Synechococcales; Synechococcaceae
Description: ATPC RNA motif
Rfam family: ATPC RNA motif
Source: Rfam by way of RNAcentral
UUCGUCUUUUAAGGCGAUCUGCUAAACACAUCCGCGCGUAGGUCCGACAUUCGAUCGGGCCCACUCCCUCAGAGAGUGUCCCAGCGCG